GCCAGGCACAGGUGGCGCGUGCCUGUAGUCCCAGCUACUUGGGAGACUGAGGUGGGUGAAUCGCUUGAGUCCAGGAGUUCUGGGCUGUAGUGUGUGUGCUAUGCAAAUCGGGUGUCUGCACUAAGUUCAAUAUGGUGACCUCUCGGGAGCGGGGGACCACCAGGUUGCCUAAGGAAGGGUGAACCAGCCCAUGCUGGAAACACAGCAGGUCAAAACUCCCAUGCUGAUCAGUAGUGGGAUUGCACCUGUGAAUAGCCACUGCACUCCAGCCUGGGCAACAUAGCGAGACCCUGUCUCUU
Molecule: unclassified non-coding RNA, 299 nt
Organism: Callithrix jacchus (white-tufted-ear marmoset)
Lineage: Eukaryota; Metazoa; Chordata; Mammalia; Primates; Cebidae
Rfam family: Metazoan signal recognition particle RNA
About the family: The signal recognition particle (SRP) is a universally conserved ribonucleoprotein. It is involved in the co-translational targeting of proteins to membranes.
Source: Ensembl